This 91-nucleotide small nuclear RNA is filed under the name Carlito syrichta (Philippine tarsier). The record is from RNAcentral. Lineage: Eukaryota; Metazoa; Chordata; Mammalia; Primates; Tarsiidae.
AUAUUUCAACAGCACAUAUACUAAAACUGGAACAAUAUAAAGAACAUUAGCAUGGCUCCUGUGCAAGAAUGAUCCUACUGACUUCAUUUUU